RNAcentral lists this ribosomal RNA (444 nucleotides) under uncultured Phycisphaerae bacterium. RNAcentral's name for it is "bacterial SSU rRNA". It matches the Rfam family "Bacterial small subunit ribosomal RNA", at positions 338 to 795 of the family's 1533-position model. Lineage: Bacteria; Pseudomonadati; Planctomycetota; Phycisphaerae. The record is from RNAcentral.
CCUACGGGGGGCAGCAGUGAGGAAUAUUGGGCAAUGGGCGAAAGCCUGACCCAGCGACGCCGCGUGUAGGAUGAAGUCCUUCGGGAUGUAAACUACUGUCAGGGACUAGAAAGUUUCGAUUGAUCGGUCCCAGAGGAAGUCACGGCUAACUUCGUGCCAGCAGCCGCGGUAAUACGAAGGUGGCAAGCGUUGUUCGGAAUCACUGGGCUUAAAGGGCGCGUAGGCGGAUCAGAAAGUGUCUUGUGAAAUACCCCGGCUUAACCGGGGAAUGGCUCGGCAAACUACUGGUCUUGAGGCAAGUAGGGGUGUGUGGAACUCUUGGUGGAGCGGUGGAAUGCGUAGAUAUCAAGAGGAACGCCGAAGGUGAAGACAGCACACUGGACUUGCCCUGACGCUGAGGCGCGAAAGCGUGGGGAGCAAACAGGAUUAGAUACCCCAGUAGUC